Molecule: ribosomal RNA, 383 nt
Filed under: uncultured eukaryote
Lineage: Eukaryota
Description: partial 18S ribosomal RNA
Rfam family: Eukaryotic small subunit ribosomal RNA
Source: RNAcentral
CAAUAGCGUAUAUUAAAGUUGUUGCAGUUAAAAAGCUCGUAGUUGGAUUUCUGGUAGGAGUGACCGUUCCGAACUUGAUUGUUCGUGUAUUGUGUUUUCUCCAGCCAUCCUUGUGGAGAACUUUUCUUGCAUUAAUUUGUAGGGAUUGGGACCCGCAUCGUUUACUGUGAAAAAAUUAGAGUGUUUAAAGCAGGCAAUCGCUUGAAUACAUUAGCAUGGAAUAAUAAGAUAGGACUUUGGUACUAUUUUGUUGGUUUGCAUACCAAAUUAAUGAUCAACAGGAACAGUUUGAGGAUAUUCGUAUGAACAUGUCAGAGGUGGAAUUCUUGGAUUUUGAUCAGACGAACUACUGCGAAAGCAUUUAUCAAGGAUGUUUUCAUUAA